GUAGGGGGCAAGCGUUGUCCGGAUUUAUUGGGCGUAAAGAGCGUGUAGGCGGCUUGGUAGGUCCGUUGUGAAAACUCGAGGCUCAACCUCGAGACGCCGAUGGAAACCAUCAAGCUAGAGUCCGGAAGAGGAGAGUGGAAUUCCUGGUGUAGCGGUGAAAUGCGCAGAUAUCAGGAAGAACACCCGUGGCUAAGGCGGCUCUCUAGUACGGUACUGACGCUGAGACGCGAAAGCGUGGGGAGCGAACAGGAUUAGAUACCCUGGUAGUCCACGCCGUAAACGAUGGGUGCUAGGUGUAGGGGGNGUCGACUCCCUCUGUGCCGAAGCUAACGCAUUAAGCACCCCGCCUGGGGAGUACGGCCGCAAGGCUA
Molecule: ribosomal RNA, 371 nt
Filed under: uncultured bacterium
Lineage: Bacteria
Description: bacterial SSU rRNA
Rfam family: Bacterial small subunit ribosomal RNA
Source: RNAcentral